This 253-nucleotide ribosomal RNA is filed under the name uncultured bacterium. RNAcentral's name for it is "partial 16S ribosomal RNA". It matches the Rfam family "Bacterial small subunit ribosomal RNA", at positions 524 to 776 of the family's 1533-position model. The record is from RNAcentral.
UACGUAGGGUGCGAGCGUUGUCCGGAAUUACUGGGCGUAAAGAGCUCGUAGGUGGUUUGUCGCGUUGUUCGUGAAAACUCACAGCUUAACUGUGGGCGUGCGGGCGAUACGGGCAGACUGGAGUACUGCAGGGGAGACUGGAAUUCCUGGUGUAGCGGUGGAAUGCGCAGAUAUCAGGAGGAACACCAGAGGCGAAAGCGAAUCACUGGACAGAACCCGACUCUGAGGCACGAAAGCUAGGGGAGCAAACGGG